CAGCAGCCGCGGUAAUACGUAGGUCCCGAGCGUCGUCCGGAUUUAUUGGGUGUAAAGAGAGCGUAGACGGUUAAACAAGUCUGAAGUGAAAUGCCGGGGCUCAACCCCGGAGCUGCUUUGGGAACUGUAGAACUGGAGUGUCGGAGGGGUAAGCGGAAUUCCCAGUGUAGCGGUGAAAUGCGUAGAUAUUGGGGGGAACACCGGCGGCGAAGGCGGCUUACUGGACGACAACUGACGUUGAGGCUCGAAGGCGUGGGUAGCAAACUGGAUUAGAUACCCCUGUAGUCCCUGUCUCUUAUAC
RNAcentral lists this ribosomal RNA (301 nucleotides) under uncultured bacterium. RNAcentral describes it as "partial 16S ribosomal RNA". It matches the Rfam family "Bacterial small subunit ribosomal RNA", at positions 509 to 807 of the family's 1533-position model. The record is from RNAcentral.